Molecule: ribosomal RNA, 456 nt
Filed under: uncultured Streptococcus sp.
Lineage: Bacteria; Bacillati; Bacillota; Bacilli; Lactobacillales; Streptococcaceae
Description: bacterial SSU rRNA
Rfam family: Bacterial small subunit ribosomal RNA
Source: RNAcentral
GCACAAGCGGUGGAGUAUGUGGUUAAUUCGACGCAACGCGCAGAACCUUACCAGGUCUUGACAUCCCGAUGCUAUUUCUAGAGAUAGAAAGUUACUUCGGUACAUCGGUGACAGGUGGUGCAUGGUUGUCGUCAGCUCGUGUCGUGAGAUGUUGGGUUAAGUCCCGCAACGAGCGCAACCCCUAUUGUUAGUUGCCAUCAUUCAGUUGGGCACUCUAGCGAGACUGCCGGUAAUAAACCGGAGGAAGGUGGGAUGACGUCAAAUCAUCAUGCCCCUUAUGACCUGGGCUACACACGUGCUACAAUGGUUGGUACAACGAGUUGCGAGUCGGUGGCGGCGAGCUAAUCUCUUAAAGCCAAUCUCAGUUCGGAUUGUAGGCUGCAACUCGCCUACAUGAAGUCGGAAUCGCUAGUAAUCGCGGAUCAGCACGCCGCGGUGAAUACGUUCCCGGGCCUU